Molecule: long non-coding RNA, 604 nt
Filed under: Capsicum annuum
Lineage: Eukaryota; Viridiplantae; Streptophyta; Magnoliopsida; Solanales; Solanaceae
Description: long non-coding RNA (CANN_LNC015924)
Source: RNAcentral
GACAUCGUUCAUGCCCAUAGUAGUACGACAAAGCCUCUAACCCGAAUCAAGUAACAUCCGGUCGGAACAUGCCCCCGACCAUAGCCAAAAUCAAAAUUCAAGAAAACAAAAAUAAUGAAAAGGAGUCCAUAGCAUAAAAUGGAACUUCCGAAGUAUAAAAGCCCACCACUUCAAUUUGACUCAAAGCUUUUUCUGAAUCCAAGUCAAUGAGUAGGAGGAAUAGUAGUAUGACCGGUUCCUGUAUCGCGUAGGGAUACAACGCCCAAAGACAAUUACCAGAGUGAACGCUAGCAUGUACUCAGGGAUAAAGAUAAAAUAAUGUCAUUAUUAAAAAUCCAAUCAAAUGACCUUAUGCAAUUACACAUAUACAUAUAUAUCAUGCGGGGAUAGGAAACCGAGUUUAACAUACAUUUAAAACCUUAACCUGGGUUGUGUAGCUCUGCCGUCCUAAAUGUCCACCUACAAGCUAUAUGAGUUCAGCUCUCUCUGCUGAAAGGGCUUCGGUGUGUGUUAGCAGCACAAACCAGAGAAAAAAAACUAAGAUGACUAGUAAAUCUCCCAAAAUAUAAAGUGGGACAUCAUGCACACAGUCACUAUAUCAAAC